GGGUAAAGUCAUCUAACCGUGUACCGGGGCCACCGUGGCAAUGUCGCAGGAGUUUGGACAUUUUCUUUGUUUUAUCUUCGAUACAGUCACGGUCGACGAAUAUUUUUGUAGUUCCGAGUGCAGCUCUUGAUGUGAGCGUUUCGUUUGGAACUUCAGAAGAUUUUAAGCAGUUCCUAUCAGUUUGAGCAGCUGUCGGAUAUCGACAUCGCAAGUUUUCUAUUACGAGAAACCGGUCUAGCGCCCAAGCCAUCGGUGGAGAAUUUCUUGCAGCUCCGAGUCCCUGACCCCAGUUUAGGACAUUUUUGAGAUCUACCACCAGUGCUAUAGAAUCAAGCCGCCAGCAACCAUUGUAUUUUUCCCAUUGAGAGCGCCACGGAUGUUCCGAGAAAAUAUGCAGACUCCCAUUCAACAGGACAUUGUGCAGCAAUUAACCAUUGGUCCUUUAAAUCACAAGGAAACUGGAACCAUUUACUCAUCUCGAGGUGAAAAUCGAACGACUUCUCCUGUGCGGGUGCGAAUAUUGACGGCACCGAGCCUGGCACCAAAGACAUAAAUGGACUUAUCUAAAUACUCAAGGCCGAUAAAGUUAACACGAUCUGCUGUUAAAAGGUACACCGGACGUUAGAAAUCCUUUCCGAACGACUCCUAUAUGUAAAAAUAUCGAUGUUCAAUUUGCAUGCUGCCUCGUCUUGUCGCUCCCGACAAUUGCCAACAAGAACAGGUCGGAAAAAGGAAAAGGAUAAAAAAAUUCAGUCCGUUCGGUUCGUUCAAGACAGGGGCAUCACCAGAGGGAAACGGAACGUAAACCAAGGAGGAGUUAUUAUUUUUUGUACCAAGAGCUCCUGUUUGAGUGUGCUGCUUCAACAACAUCCGGAUAUCAGAUUUUUUAUUAGAUUGAUCUCGGUGCGAUCAGUCGCGGCAUCGAUCCAACGACAUCAGUUAUCAUCUUUAGUCCAGAUACCAUCAGCCAAGCUGUCACCAGUUCCGGAAUUCCGUCAAAAUUCCGCACAGCUCGCUUGUGAUCCGGUGCUUGCUGCGAUUGAUGUUUCCUCCACCGCGCAGUGAUGAGCAGCUGAGGGAUGCUCCGGUUCGUCCGGAACUGCUACCAUAAAUGAAAUCUCCCACAGCUGCUUGUAUUGCAGCAAUAAUAAGGCUUCCGACAAAUGUAUUACAUAAAAAAUAA
Long non-coding RNA from Armigeres subalbatus, 1183 nucleotides. RefSeq lists it as uncharacterized. NCBI's taxonomy places the organism in Eukaryota, Metazoa, Arthropoda, Insecta, Diptera, Culicidae. The transcript has 3 exons. The record is from RefSeq and is a predicted model, not a curated record.